This 429-nucleotide ribosomal RNA is filed under the name Acidobacteriota bacterium. Its description in RNAcentral is "Acidobacteria bacterium partial 16S ribosomal RNA". It matches the Rfam family "Bacterial small subunit ribosomal RNA", at positions 355 to 776 of the family's 1533-position model. Lineage: Bacteria; Pseudomonadati; Acidobacteriota. The record is from RNAcentral.
UGGGGAAUUUUGGACAAUGGGGGAAACCCUGAUCCAGCCAUCCCGCGUGUGCGAUGAAGGCCUUCGGGUUGUAAAGCACUUUUGUCAGGAAAGAAACGUCAUGGGUUAAUACCCCGUGAAACUGACGGUACCUGCAGACUAAGCACCGGCUAACUACGUGCCAGCAGCCGCGGUAAUACGUAGGGUGCAAGCGUUAAUCGGAAUUACUGGGCGUAAAGCGUGCGCAGGCGGUUCGGAAAGAAAGAUGUGAAAUCCCAGAGCUCAACUUUGGAACUGCAUUUUUAACUGUCGGGCUAGAGUGUGUCAGAGGGAGGUGGAAUCCCGCGUGUAGCAGUGAAAUGCGUAGAUAUGCGGAGGAACACCGAGGGCGAAGGCAGCCGCCUGGGAUAACACUGACGCUCAUGCACGAAAGCGUGGGGAGCAAACAGG